Molecule: ribosomal RNA, 237 nt
Filed under: uncultured Hyphomicrobiales bacterium
Lineage: Bacteria; Pseudomonadati; Pseudomonadota; Alphaproteobacteria; Hyphomicrobiales
Description: uncultured Rhizobiales bacterium partial 16S ribosomal RNA
Rfam family: Bacterial small subunit ribosomal RNA
Source: RNAcentral
CAGACGGGUGAGUAAUGUAUAGGAAUCUACCUAGUAGUACGGAAUAAUUGUUGGAAACGGCAACUAAUACCGUAUACGCCCUACGGGGGAAAAAUUUAUUGCUAUUAGAUGAGCCUAUAUUAGAUUAGUUAGUUGGUGAGGUAAAGGCUUACCAAGACAAUGAUCUAUAGCUGAUCUGAGAGGAUGAUCAGCCACACUGGAACUGAGAUACGGUCCAGACUCCUACGGGAGGCAGCA